RNAcentral lists this ribosomal RNA (467 nucleotides) under uncultured bacterium. RNAcentral's name for it is "bacterial SSU rRNA". It matches the Rfam family "Bacterial small subunit ribosomal RNA", at positions 30 to 494 of the family's 1533-position model. The record is from RNAcentral.
AUUGAACGCUGGCGGCAUGCCUUACACAUGCAAGUCGAACGGUAACGGGCCUUCGGGUGCCGACGAGUGGCGAACGGGUGAGUAAUGCAUCGGAACGUACCUUUCAGUGGGGGAUAACGUAGCGAAAGUUACGCUAAUACCGCAUAUUCUGUGAGCAGGAAAGCAGGGGAUCGCAAGACCUUGCGCUGAUUGAGCGGCCGAUGUCAGAUUAGCUAGUUGGUGAGGUAAAGGCUCACCAAGGCGACGAUCUGUAGCGGGUCUGAGAGGAUGAUCCGCCACACUGGAACUGAGACACGGUCCAGACUCCUACGGGAGGCAGCAGUGGGGAAUUUUGGACAGUGGGGGCAACCCUGAUCCAGCCAUGCCGCGUGCGGGAAGAAGGCCUCGGUUGUAACGCUUCGUACGGAAGAAAUACGCAUGGGUUAAGUAACCUCGUGUGGAGUGACGGUACCGUAAGAAGAAGACAC